Non-coding RNA from Acanthosepion pharaonis, 115 nucleotides. The record is from the annotation of a GenBank genome assembly. Lineage: Eukaryota; Metazoa; Mollusca; Cephalopoda; Sepiida; Sepiidae.
UUACAGCCAUAUCACAUUGAAACACUGGUUCUUGUAUGAUCAUCAAAGUUAAGUAAUGUUGAGCCUAGUCAGUACCUAGAUGGGUGACCACUUGGAAAAAUACCAGGGGCUGUAA